Long non-coding RNA from Arvicola amphibius (Eurasian water vole), 769 nucleotides. RefSeq lists it as uncharacterized. The transcript has 2 exons. The record is from RefSeq and is a predicted model, not a curated record. NCBI's taxonomy places the organism in Eukaryota, Metazoa, Chordata, Mammalia, Rodentia, Cricetidae.
CUUAUAACAAUUAUAAUUAUCCCCUAAUUGAUGUCCCUAACUCUGAGGACAAACUUAGUUGGGAGAGGGGACGUUGUCUUCUAGAAUUACUUCCAGUUGUCAUGUUGGCGAUGUUCUUUCUAAGAGAUCCUGUGAAAGUAAAAUGACGGUUAAGUUUCAAGAUUAUUGUCUGGUAUAAUUGCAAAUAGUGCCUGAGUAUUCAGCGGGGUUUUUCUGAUGAUCCUAUUGGGAGUUUUGGUAAAAAGGUGCUCCAUUUCAGCUAACCAAGUUGGAACCAUCUUGAGCAACUGGUACCUAAAACAGGUCUUAUAGCAGCACUAUCAGUAUCAUGACGUCAUAUCAACCAGGUGGAGUCGUUGUUGUGGGGCCCCAUCUUCUUUCUUCAGAUUACUGAAGGAAAAUUCACUGUUCAAUGUGGAAAACUUAAACAUUAUUUAUACAGACCUAUGUUCAAUAAAAGGUAUGAUAGAGUCAAAAAUAGGUAUGAAGAAAAGUAAAUUUUUUUCUAAAUCCUUUUUUCUUCUGGCCCAUACCAGAUAGUUCCUGACAUGAGACAGAAACUCUGAAUUUUUCCUUUGACAACAUGCUUGGAUCUAGAGGACAGAGAGGUUGUCCAACUCUAAAACCAGAUUUGAUUUUUCAAGCAAGUCAUGACUAUUAUUAUAGGGCUCCUGCCCUUGUGAUGACCUCACCAGAGGCCAAGUUGAUGCUUCACAGAGGGGUUCUUCAUGCUCCAGAAAUAUGAGUUAAUAAACCUGAUUUCCUUUUA